ACGGAAACCUCGCCCCACCAAGGCGGCCCCUAAAGAAAAAACGGCCCGCCCGAGGCUCAUAGGUGGAAGGGACUUGCCUUGUCUCAGGCAAUUUGAAAGUAAGCAGAUUGUGUCUAAAGACGUAAGAAUUGUUUUCAAGCAUCCAAAUGAAACAGUGGGAGGUACAGAGAAUAUUGAUUUGUAUAGAGUUGACUUAUGUUUGUGGAUUGUUCAUUCAAUAAAGUCAGGUUUUUUUUUUA
Molecule: long non-coding RNA, 239 nt
Organism: Symphalangus syndactylus (siamang)
Lineage: Eukaryota; Metazoa; Chordata; Mammalia; Primates; Hylobatidae
Source: RefSeq, a predicted model, not a curated record